Molecule: ribosomal RNA, 253 nt
Filed under: uncultured bacterium
Lineage: Bacteria
Description: partial 16S ribosomal RNA
Rfam family: Bacterial small subunit ribosomal RNA
Source: RNAcentral
UACGGAGGGUGCGAGCGUUGUCCGGAAUCACUGGGCGUAAAGCGCGUGUAGGCGGCUUGGUAAGUCCGCUGUGAAAGCCCGGGGCUCAACCCCGGGAGGCGGGUGGAUACUGUCAAGCUCGAGUCCGGAAGAGGCGAGUGGAAUUCCUGGUGUAGCGGUGAAAUGCGCAGAUAUCAGGAGGAACACCAAUGGCGAAGGCAGCUCGCUGGGACGUGACUGACGCUGAGACGCGAAAGCGUGGGGAGCAAACAGG